CAUGAUGUCAGCAGCACCGGUGUUGGUCUUUGUGGGAAAGAAAAACACAGGCCAGGGCUGCAGCACGAUUGUGUCUGCCCAGCUCUUGCAGCCUGGAGAACACCGUUGGAUUCCCUCCCACACAUGCUCCCAGGCUGCCUGCCUGCCUCACUUACCUGCUCAGGGUGGGGCUUGAGGGUGGCCCCUGGGAAGAGUAAGAACUGGCCAAGACUGAGAUGUCCUUCCCUCAUUUAAGGUACCGCCUUUUCCCUUUUCCCGCCAUCCUGGGUGCAUGGAUACUUGGGAUUAGAAACUGGACUGGAAAUGUAAUCUUUCUUCGGUUUGGGGCUGAGAACUGGGGAUUAGUAGGAUUUUGAGUUUAUGGCACAGCCUUUUCUUACACCAUUUCCUAAAAAGCAGUUAAGAUUACACCAGGCACAGUGGCUUACGCCUAUAAUCUCAGCACUUUGGGAGGCUGAGGCAGGUGGAUCAAGACCAGCUUAACCAACAUGGUGAAACCCCAUCUCUACUAAAAAUACAAAAAUUAGCUGGGCGUGGUGGCACGCAUUUGUAGUCCCGGCUACUUGGGAGGCUGAGGCAGGAGAAUUCCUUGAACCCGGGAGGCGGAGGUUGCGGUGAGCUGAGAUUGCACCAUUGCACUCCAGCAGCCUGGGCAACAGCAACGAAACUCCGUCUCAAAAAAAAAAAAAAAUUACAGUCAUCUCCCAGAAAAAUCAAGAAGGAAGAACCUUGGAGGUUCAACCUAUAGAAGAUAUGUUCUCAUGGAAUAAACCAAAAAUAAUUUUUAUUUUCUAAAAAAUCAAGAACAGAAGUCUCUCAACAUUUAAGUUUUACAAACAAAUAGAAUCUGAGCCACUGGGUUAAACAUGACAAACGACACACAGUAACAAAUAUUGAAGACAUCAUAAUGCCAAAGCAACAGAAGCAGCACCAGAAAUGUUGCUGAGGCCACCAUUUAAUUAACGCAAGUUGAACAUAUGGCUUUGGUUACAUGUGGUUCCAGGCCAGAGGCAUGGAAGUCAGUGUUUGUGGGAAAGCCAGGAGGAAAAGCUCCUCUCCCCACCUCCACCUUGUCACUCCAGGUUCUGGUGACCCCAUCUCGGGACACGGCCUCCCAUUUCACUCCUGCACCAACCCCACUCUUGUAACACUGCACAUGCAAGAUGUGAGCAUCUUCAAAGUACGAAUAUUGCCUUCUUCAUUUUAGAAUCCAUGAUGUGCUUGUGGGGAGAAUGAAUGAAUGCUCAAACAUGAAUGGAGAGAGACAGAGAGGAAGUGCAGGUCUAACCAAGGAAACCUUCUUUCCUAGAAAAUCGUUGAUGAGCCCGGAAAGAGUUGGCUGAACAACGGUAACAAUUCUUUUAUUAUUAUUUAACUUAUUAAGUUAUUAGAAAAAGUAAAAGAGUGAGUCGAGGUUUUUGGAUUGGAAGUAGGGACCCACUGAGUUCCCUCCAGGAUUGUGGAGUUUCUUUUACAGCCACAUGUGGAUAAGAAACUAAGGGCCACAGACCAAAUGACAGGUCGGAUGGCAACCCUGGAAAAGUCACACAGCUCAGCCUGUUGGAGGAAGAGGAGCAGUAGAACCUGUGUGGAGCCUGACAGAACCCAAGAUGCCAUUCACGAACCGAGAGGUCUUUCAAGAUCACACACAGUUCUACGACACAGACAUUUCGUCUUCUUGCCACUCAGUAGCGGGGCCCAUCCCUCUGUGCCUCCAAGGAGAAAGAAUUGUGCCAUGAAAAAUGGAAAACUCCUGAGAAGCUGUUCCAGCGUCAGGAGAGCAGCAGACAAGCUGGACUGGGGAAGAUUCUUCCUGCAAGACCUGCAGAGUGUAUGACACAUAACCAGCACCCAAGAAAUGUCUACCGAGGAAUUAAUGAAUGAGCCAUCUUGUGAUCAUCUGGCAAGACAGCCCAAGAAUAAAGCCGUCACCAUGGAGACUAAGAAGAGACAGAAAGACACUGGGUCUUCAUUGUCUCGUCCAGCUGUUCAUGAGGCCUUAUCUGAAGCCCACGUGACCUCCGGACUACUCACUUACAUGAGAGAAUAAAGCUCUUUUUUGUUUAGACCAAAUAAAUACAUAAUACAAUUACAUAAUCCCUUGAUUCCUUUUUAUGACUGAGCUCAGAGACUAUAUUUUGUCAUUUUAAAUCACCUUUGUCUUACAGUUUAUUUAACUGAAACAAAUAAACAAACCAAAACACGCCAGUUUUUCACUCCUCUGUCAAAGCCUUUCCAAGAUCACUAAGCUUGUGAUGUCCUGGGUGAAUGAAGAAGUAACAGUGUUUUCAACAACAUAGAAGCUUAUUUCUCUCUCAUAUAAAAGAAGGCUGGAGUCUGGCUGGUAUGGGAGAUACAGCAUCAUCAAAGUUUUAUCUUUUCGUCCUGCCAUCCUUAGAAUAUGGCUUUCAUCUUCAAGAUCACUUCCUAAGCUAUGAGGAUGCAAAGGUAUAAGAAUGACAUAGCGGACUUUGGGGACUCGGUGUGGGGAGAAGUUGGGAGGGGUGAGGGAUAAGAGACUACAUAUUGGGUACAGUGUACACUGCUCUAAAAUCUCAGAAAUCACCACCAAAGAACCUAUCCGUGGAAUCAAAAACCACCUAUACCCCCAAAACCACUGAAAUAAAACUAAAAAUUAAUUAAAAAAAAAAACAACAUAACUUCAUGGUCCAAUGUGACAGCUAGAGCGCCAAUCAUCAUGUUAAACUUCCUGUUCCAGAAAGGCAUGGAAGGAAGGGAGAAGGAGAAAAAGGAGUCUGUGAGUAGUCUAUUCCCUCUUAAGGAGUCCACAGAAGACUACCCAACAACUUCUGCUUAUGUCUCACUGGCCCUCAGGCUGCAAAUGUGGCUUCCAAGUGUAGUCUUUCAGCUGAGCACACUGCCACCCAGAUUAAAAUCUGGGUUAUGUGACCAAGGAAAAAGAGGAGACUGGAUAUUGGAUAGGCAACUAACAGUCUCUGCCGCACCCUACUUAACAAACUGGCCCAGCUUCUGUGUUCAGAUCUGAUGCUUGGUGCCCGCAGCUCCAAGGAGACCCCAUGGUUCAAGCUGCAAUUACUUGCUCCACAGGCCCUUACCAAGGAAAGUCAGGUUUUUUCCCUCCUGAGGAUCCUCUGACCAGCAUCUUCAGAUUUUUUUUCAGUUAGAAGUAUUCAUUGGGCACCUG
Molecule: long non-coding RNA, 3166 nt
Filed under: Homo sapiens (human)
Lineage: Eukaryota; Metazoa; Chordata; Mammalia; Primates; Hominidae
Description: HSALNT0376872
Source: RNAcentral